Molecule: small RNA, 574 nt
Filed under: Pongo abelii (Sumatran orangutan)
Lineage: Eukaryota; Metazoa; Chordata; Mammalia; Primates; Hominidae
Description: retained intron
Source: RNAcentral
GCUGUCGGGGAGCCGGCGGUGGGGCUGGACGCAGGUGCAACUGACAUGGGUGAACCCCGGGGGUCCAUGCGGAUUCUAGUGACAGGGGGCUCUGGACUGGUAGGCAAAGCCAUCCAGAAGGUGGUAGCAGAUGGAGCUGGACUUCCUGGAGAGGACUGGGUGUUUGUUUCCUCUAAAGAUGCCGAUCUCACGGAUGCAGCACAGACCCGCGCCCUGUUUGAGAAGGUCCGACCCACACACGUCAUCCAUCUUGCUGCAAUGGUGGGGGGCCUGUUCCGGAAUAUCAAAUACAAUUUGGACUUCUGGAGGAAAAAUGUGCACAUCAACGACAACGUCCUGCACUCAGCCUUCGAGGUGGGCGCCCGCAAGGUGGUGUCCUGCCUGUCCACCUGUAUCUUCCCUGACAAGACGACCUACCCCAUAGAUGAGACCAUGGUGAGGGGCAGGGCCUGGCUGUGGGCGGGGCCGGGGAGCCUGUGGGCAGGGCCAGGAAGUAGCGGCCUCUGCCUCUCCUGCCCUGCAGAUCCACAAUGGGCCGCCCCACAGCAGCAAUUUUGGGUACUCGUAUGCCAAG